GUAGGGUGUGGCAGGGGCAGAUGUAACACGAGUAGAGUUAGAGGGAGUUUAGAACUGUAGAGGGAGUUUAGAACUGUAGAGGGAGUUUAGAACUGUAGAGGGAGUUUAGAACUGUAGAGGGAGUUUAGAACUGUAGAGGGAGUUUAGAACUGUCCAGGGAGUUUAGAACUGUACAGGGAGUUUAGAACUGUAGAGGGAGUUUAGAACUGUAGAGGGAGUUUAGAACUGUAGAGGGAGUUUAGAACUGUCCAGGGAGUUUAGAACUGUCCAGGGAGUUUAGAACUGUCGAGGGAGUUUAGAACUGUCCAGGGAGUUUAGAACUGUAGAGGGAGUUUAGAACUGUAGAGGGAGUUUAGAACUGUAGAGGGAGUUUAGAACUGUAGAGGGAGUUUAGAACUGUACAGGGAGUUUAGAACUGUCCAGGGAGUUUAGAACUGUAGAGGGAGUUUAGAACUGUAGAGGGAGUUUAGAACUGUAGAGGGAGUUUAGAACUGUAGAGGGAGUUUAGAACUGUAGAGGGAGUUUAGAACUGUACAGGGAGUUUAGAACUGUACAGGGAGUUUAGAACUGUAGAGGGAGUUUAGAACUGUCGAGGUAGAGGGAGUUUAGAACUGUCGAGGUAGAGGGAGUUUAGAACUGUCGAGGUAGAGGGAGUUUAGAACUGUCGAGGGAGUUUAGAACUGUCGAGGUAGAGGGAGUUUAAAAUAAAUAAAUGUGCCGAAUACAACAGGUGUAGACCUUACCGUGAAAUGUUGACUUACAAGCCCUUAACCAACAAUGCAGUUCAUAAAUAGUCCGGGUAGCCAUUUGAUUCAUUGUUAGGUAGUCUUAUGGCUUGGAGGUAGAAGCUGUU
This 853-nucleotide long non-coding RNA is filed under the name Salmo salar (Atlantic salmon). RNAcentral describes it as "lncRNA (ENSSSAG00000104532.1)". Lineage: Eukaryota; Metazoa; Chordata; Actinopteri; Salmoniformes; Salmonidae. The record is from RNAcentral.